GGGGAAUAUUGCACAAUGGGGGAAACCCUGAUGCAGCGACCCCGCGUGAAGGAAGAAGUAUCUCGGUAUGUAAACUUCUAUCAGCAGGGAAGAAAAUGACGGUACCUGACUAAGAAGCCCCGGCUAACUACGUGCCAGCAGCCGCGGUAAAACGUAGGUCACAAGCGUUGUCCGGAAUUACUGGGUGUAAAGGGAGCGCAGGCGGGAAGACAAGUUGGAAGUGAAAUCUAUGGGCUCAACCCAUAAACUGCUUUCAAAACUGUUUUUCUUGAGUAGUGCAGAGGUAGGCGGAAUUCCCGGUGUAGCGGUGGAAUGCGUAGAUAUCGGGAGGAACACCAGUGGCGAAGGCGGCCUACUGGGCACCAACUGACGCUGAGGCUCGAAAGUGUGGGUAGCAAACAGGAUUAGAUACCCUGGUAGUCCACACCGUAAACGAUGAUUACUAGGUGUUGGAGGAUUGACCCCUUCAGUGCCGCAGUUAACACAAUAAGUAAUCCACCUGGGGAGUACGACCGCAAGGUUGAAACUCAAAGGAAUUGACGGGGACCCGCACAAGCAGUGGAGUAUGUGGUUUAAUUCGACGCAACGCGAAGAACCUUACCAAGUCUUGACAUCCCUUGACGAACAUAGAAAUAUGUUUUCUCUUCGGAGCAAGGAGACAGGUGGUGCAUGGUUGUCGUCAGCUCGUGUCGUGAGAUGUUGGGUUAAGUCCCGCAACGAGCGCAACCCUUAUGGUCAGUUACUACGCAAGAGGACUCUGGCCAGACUGCCGUUGACAAAACGGAGGAAGGUGGGGAUGACGUCAAAUCAUCAUGCCCUUUAUGACUUGGGCUACACACGUACUACAAGGGCGUUAAACAAAGAGAAGCAAGACCGCGAGGGGGAGCAAAACUCAGAAACAACGUCCCAGUUCGGACUGCAGGCUGCAACUCGCCUGCACGAAGUCGGAAUUGCUAGUAAUCGUGGAUCAGCAUGCCACGGUGAAUACGUUCCCG
Molecule: ribosomal RNA, 995 nt
Filed under: uncultured bacterium
Lineage: Bacteria
Description: bacterial SSU rRNA
Rfam family: Bacterial small subunit ribosomal RNA
Source: RNAcentral